CACGUAGGGCGCAAGCGUUGUCCGGAAUUAUUGGGCGUAAAGAGCUCGUAGGCGGACUGUUGCGUCCGCUGUGAAAAGCUGGGGCUUAACCCUGGCCUUGCAGUGGAUACGGGCAGACUAGAGGUAGGUAGGGGAGAAUGGAAUUCCCGGUGUAGCGGUGAAAUGCGCAGAUAUCGGGAAGAACACCCGUGGCGAAGGCGGUUCUCUGGGACGGUACUGACGCUGAGACGCGAAAGCGUGGGGAGCGAACAGG
Molecule: ribosomal RNA, 253 nt
Filed under: uncultured bacterium
Lineage: Bacteria
Description: partial 16S ribosomal RNA
Rfam family: Bacterial small subunit ribosomal RNA
Source: RNAcentral